This 655-nucleotide ribosomal RNA is filed under the name uncultured Paraglomus. Its description in RNAcentral is "SSU rRNA". It matches the Rfam family "Eukaryotic small subunit ribosomal RNA", at positions 357 to 1016 of the family's 1831-position model. The record is from RNAcentral. Lineage: Eukaryota; Fungi; Glomeromycota; Glomeromycetes; Paraglomerales; Paraglomeraceae.
GGGUAACGGGGAAUUAGGGUUCGAUUCCGGAGAGGGAGCCUGAGAAACGGCUACCACAUCCAAGGAAGGCAGCAGGCGCGCAAAUUACCCAAUCCCGACACGGGGAGGUAGUGACAAUAAAUAACAACACAGGGCUCUUUUGGGUCUUGUUAUUGGAAUGAGUACGAUUUAAAUCUCCUAACGAGGAACAAUUGGAGGGCAAGUCUGGUGCCAGCAGCCGCGGUAAUUCCAGCUCCAAUAGCGUAUAUUAAAGUUGUUGCAGUUAAAAAGCUCGUAGUUGAAUUUCAGGCCUGGCUGGACGGUCCGCCCUUCGGGUGAGUACUGUCUGUGGUCGGGUCCUACCUUCUGGCGAAGCGUCAUGGCCUUAACCGGCCGUGGCGGGGAACCAGGACUUUUACUGUGAAAAAAUUAGAGUGUUCAAAGCAGGCAAUCGCUUGGAUACAUUAGCAUGGAAUAAUGGAAUAGGACAAUGGUUCUAUUUGUUGGUUUCUAGGACCGUUGUAAUGAUUAAUAGGGAUAGUUGGGGGCAUUAGUAUUCAAUUGUCAGAGGUGAAAUUCUUGGAUUUAUUGAAGACUAACUACUGCGAAAGCAUUUGCCAAGGAUGUUUUCAUUAAUCAAGAACGAAAGUUAGGGGAUCGAAGACGAUCAGAUACC